CAGCAGCCGCGGUAAAACAGAGGAUGCAAGCGUUAUCCGGAAUGAUUGGGCGUAAAGCGUCUGUAGGUGGCUUUUCAAGUCCGCCGUCAAAUCCCAGGGCUCAACCCUGGACAGGCGGUGGAAACUACCAAGCUGGAGUACGGUAGGGGCAGAGGGGGGUGGAAUUCCACGUGCAGCAGUGAAAUGCGUAGAGAUGUGGAGGAACACCGAUGGCGAAGGCAGCCCCCUGGGCCAAUACUGACGCUCAUGCACGAAAGCGUGGGGAGCAAACAGGAUUAGAUACCCGCGUAGUCCCUGUCUC
RNAcentral lists this ribosomal RNA (301 nucleotides) under uncultured bacterium. RNAcentral describes it as "partial 16S ribosomal RNA". It matches the Rfam family "Bacterial small subunit ribosomal RNA", at positions 509 to 803 of the family's 1533-position model. The record is from RNAcentral.